This 67-nucleotide transfer RNA is filed under the name Marmota monax (woodchuck). RNAcentral describes it as "tRNA.Ala". Lineage: Eukaryota; Metazoa; Chordata; Mammalia; Rodentia; Sciuridae. The record is from RNAcentral.
GGUUGUGGCUCAGUGGUAGAGCGCUUACCUAGCACAUGCAAGGCCCUGGGUUUGAUCCUCAGCACCA